AGAGUUUGAUCCUGGCUCAGGAUGAACGCUAGCGGCAGGCUUAACACAUGCAAGUCGAGGGGCAGCGGGGAGGAAGCUUGCUUUCUCCGCCGGCGACCGGCGCACGGGUGAGUAACACGUAUGCAACCUGCCCCUGUCAGGGGGACAACCCGCCGAAAGGCGGGCUAAACCCGCGUACAUGCCACCGGGGCAUCCCGGAGGCAGGAAAGGCUUCGGCCGGACAGGGAUGGGCAUGCGGCGCAUUAGGCAGUAGGCGGGGUAACGGCCCACCUAACCGACGAUGCGUAGGGGUUCUGAGAGGAAGGUCCCCCACACUGGUACUGAGACACGGACCAGACUCCUACGGGAGGCAGCAGUGAGGAAUAUUGGUCAAUGGUCGGGAGACUGAACCAGCCAAGCCGCGUGAGGGAGGAAGGUACAGAGUAUCGUAAACCUCUUUUGUCAGGGAACAAAGGCGGGGACGUGUCCCCGGAUGAGUGUACCUGAAGAANAAGCAUCGGCUAACUCCGUGCCAGCAGCCGCGGUAAUACGGAGGAUGCGAGCGUUAUCCGGAUUUAUUGGGUUUAAAGGGUGCGCAGGCGGUCUGUUAAGUCAGCGGUCAAAGCCCGGGGCUCAACCCCGGCCCG
Molecule: ribosomal RNA, 626 nt
Filed under: uncultured bacterium
Lineage: Bacteria
Description: bacterial SSU rRNA
Rfam family: Bacterial small subunit ribosomal RNA
Source: RNAcentral